Long non-coding RNA from Corvus hawaiiensis (hawaiian crow), 581 nucleotides. RefSeq lists it as uncharacterized. Lineage: Eukaryota; Metazoa; Chordata; Aves; Passeriformes; Corvidae. The record is from RefSeq and is a predicted model, not a curated record. The transcript has 3 exons.
CCUCGGCCCCCUCCAGAGCCCGGCGCCAGCGGCUGCUGGCCGGGCCUCGGGGCCGUGCGGGCAGGGGAGGCCAGGGCUGGGCGCAGAGAGCCCGGCCGAGGGGCUGAGCCCGCGCCAACCCUUCCCUCCUGGCGCUCUCUGCAGCUGGCAGAGGACAGGAGCCGAGCGGCCGAGCACCUGCACCAGGCGCUGCCGUUCGUGGAGAGCCCGCAGGAGUCCCUGCGAGAGGCGGCCGUCAGGUUCAUCGGGACUGCCAGGGUGUUCUUGAGGGGGCACAAGGAAGAGCUCCAGCUCCUCAGUGAGGCCAUUCAAGCCCCGAGGAAUGACGCUGGCCCAUCCUGCUCUAAUCAGGAAAUUCAAGCCCACUUUGACCAAACAGCUGAAGAAGGUUCAUCUUCUGGAUCCCGUGAACCAGUGUCCCAAGAAUAGCACCAGAAGAUAGCGAAGAGGACAUCAUCUCCAAAUGCUGCUGGAGCUCCAGGCACAGCUGAUGCUGGGCACAGCUAAGCCUGUGGGAAGCUCGAGUGGCUUUAGCCCUCUCCCUCCCUGUAGAUAGCUCCAUCCCUCCAGCCCUCAGACAC